This 450-nucleotide ribosomal RNA is filed under the name uncultured bacterium. RNAcentral's name for it is "partial 16S ribosomal RNA". It matches the Rfam family "Bacterial small subunit ribosomal RNA", at positions 354 to 796 of the family's 1533-position model. The record is from RNAcentral.
GUGGGGAAUAUUGGACAAUGGGCGAAAGCCUGAUCCAGCCAUGCCGCGUGUGUGAAGAAGGUCUUCGGAUUGUAAAGCACUUUAAGUUGGGAGGAAGGGCAGUAAGUUAAUACCUUGCUGUUUUGACGUUACCGACAGAAUAAGCACCGGCUAACUUCGUGCCAGCAGCCGCGGUAAUACGAAGGGUGCAAGCGUUAAUCGGAAUUACUGGGCGUAAAGCGCGCGUAGGUGGUUUUGUAAGUUGGAGGUGAAAUCCCCGGGCUCAACCUGGGAGCUGCCUCCAAAACUGCAUGACUAGAGUACGGUAGAGGGUAGUGGAAUUUCCUGUGUAGCGGUGAAAUGCGUAGAUAUAGGAAGGAACACCAGUGGCGAAGGCGACUACCUGGACUGAUACUGACACUGAGGUGCGAAAGCGUGGGGAGCAAACAGGAUUAGAUACCCGAGUAGUCC